GACGAGGGUGGCAAGCGUUAUCCGGAUUUAUUGGGUGUAAAGCGUCCCUAGGCUGUUUAAUAAGUUUCCGGUUAAAUCUCUGGGCCUAACCCAGAAACCGCUGGAAAAACUGUUAAACUAGAGACCGGGAGAGGCAAGCGGAAUAGCCGGUGGAGUAGUAAAAUGCGUUGAUAUCGGCUAGAACACCAAAAGCGAAGGCAGCUUGCUAGAACGGUUCUGACGCUCAUAGGACGAAAGCGUGGGUAGCGAAUGGG
This 254-nucleotide unclassified non-coding RNA is filed under the name Patescibacteria group bacterium. RNAcentral's name for it is "contains 16S-23S intergenic spacer region". It matches the Rfam family "Bacterial small subunit ribosomal RNA", at positions 524 to 776 of the family's 1533-position model. The record is from RNAcentral.